UACGGAGGGUGCAAGCGUUAUCCGGAUUUACUGGGUUUAAAGGGUGCGCAGGCGGAUAUGUAAGUCAGUGGUGAAAUCUCCGGGCUUAACCCGGAAACUGCCGUUGAUACUAUAUAUCUUGAAUGCUGUGGAGGUAAGCGGAAUAUGUCAUGUAGCGGUGAAAUGCUUAGAUAUGACAUAGAACACCGAUAGCGAAGGCAGCUUACUACAUGUUAAUUGACGCUGAGGCACGAAAGCGUGGGGAGCAAACAGG
RNAcentral lists this ribosomal RNA (253 nucleotides) under uncultured bacterium. Its description in RNAcentral is "partial 16S ribosomal RNA". It matches the Rfam family "Bacterial small subunit ribosomal RNA", at positions 524 to 776 of the family's 1533-position model. The record is from RNAcentral.